AAGAACUGGAUCCUUGAAGGGCUGAGGAACCACUAGACCCCUGGACAGAACAGUGAUGAGCCAGGUCAGGGGAGCAAGAGGGUGUUCCAGCCUGACUGGCUGAAAGACUGAAGCCUGGAUACAAGGGCAGAGAAGGUGCUAGGGCUAUGGGGAAGUGGCCUAGGGAAACAGACGGUGGGGGCUGAAGGAGAUGCAGCAUGUGGCUGCCGCCUAGAAGGUCCCUGGGUCGGGAACUGGGGCAGUAGGGGGCCCGGGUCUGCUUCUGCCCCCACUUGCAACUGAGGGGAAUGACCAGUGAAGGGCUGCAGUUUGCCACUGAGACAAGUGGUUAGAACCUUGGACUGCAGUCGGCCACAGAGGCAAAUGGCUGGACAGAUGACUGCUGCUCCCCCGGGGGGAGGGAAGGGGCGAGAACAGAAUGGGGCAUGGCCAGAGGGCUGUGUCCUGAAGAGGAUGCUGCAAUCCUUGAGGUGACAUGGGUCUGAAGCAGAAGUGAUGGCAGGCGAUACACCACCGGAGGAGGGUGCCCUGCAAAAAGACUGAGCUAAUUCCCAGGACAACCAGCAGGAGGUGCCACAGUGGGUCAGCAAACAUUGGAUCCUGGGCCAUCAAGAUAAGCCGCAGAUGGGCUGGGAUGGUUUGUUUACCCUGAGCGUCCACAGGAACACAGGAGCAUGCUUUAGACUGAAUGAGCAAAAUGUGCAACUGGAUGAGACAGUAAGAUCAAGAAUAUCUGUGAAAAUGGUUAAUACAUUAGAUAGGUUAGCUGCACUAGAAGGAAAACUGGGACACGAGAGAAGAAUACACUGAAGAAUGAACAGCAGUUCUUUACACUGUACAAUGCAUAGCUAUAACAGGAAGCAGUUCACAUCUUGACUUUGAAGAGGACAUAAUUGGAGAUCUUAAAUGUAGGAUCAUCAUAAGCCAAAGAAAAUGUUCUCUUUACCUUACUAGCAAAAAGGAAAAGGUUCUUAAUAUUUAUUCAGAGUUGUGAAACUGAAAAGUUUCACAUAAAAGCGCUAUUAUUAGAUGCCUCUGCCACCAAGCUCCACAAUAGGAGAGAACUUGGCACCACAGUAUUGUAUGGGGUAGGGACAAAUUCCACAGGAGAGAAGCUCUGUCAAUAGUGGAAAGCUAAACACACUUUGUAUUUAUAUUUUGAAGUGCAGAGCACAAGAACUGACACUCCACAAGUCAUAACCUGCUGUCCUAAUGAGCCAGCAGGGGUCACAUAGCAGACACAUACACUUCUACUACAUGCACCAGUCUAAGCACAUGUAUUAACCAAGUAAUUAACAGCAGGAAGGCCCAAACUCACUCUUCAGAAACAAAACUAUUCUUUAAAAGACUAUGCUCAGCAGGCGGCCAAAACAAAGCUUGUGUUCAGCAGUGGUUGAGCACCACUGUUUCAAUCUCAAACAUUUGAGAGUUGCAACAUGUUCUUCCAGACAUGAACCUUGCCGUGACAACCCAAAUCUUUGUGAUCUUUUAGCCAAGUCACUGAGUAUCCUCUAUUUGAAGCUACUCUUGCAAGCUAGUCUUAGGAAAAAAAGGCUAUUAAGGAAUGUGGCUACACAACUAUCCAAAAGCCUCCACCCACAAUAGUCUGGGAUGAACACUGCUUGCUUAUUACCCAGGAACUGAAUUUUGACAUUAAAUAUUACUGGGGGACUUCCGAUUGUCUAAGUAGGCCCUUUCAGAAUGUUUUUUUCCUUGAAACUGAAGAAAUGUUUUUGAAUAGAACUCAUUAUUGGCCAUAAAUAUGUUUUCUCCUUUGGUUUGCUGAUGGGGAAGAUAUUUGUUUAAUGCUGGGGUGAAAUUUGAAGGUUACAUCCGUAUGCAGUUUCAAGGAUGGAUUUUGAGAUAUGUUGCCAUUUUCUUCAGUUCCAGUUUGUUAGCUGGUCAGAAACCAAGAGUUGCAAGUGCCAUAUAAAUUUAAUUCUUGUAAAAUAGUUCUAUUACUACAUAAUUAAGGGGAUGUACACUAAACAUUACACUCAUGGAAGUAGAUUAGAGCUUAGCAGCAGCUACUCAAUGGAGCCUCCUCCUUCUGCCAUCCCAUGAACGAAAAGGUCUUGCUGGACUGAUUGAGGAGCAAGCUCAAAGAUAAGGCUGCAGAUCAACAGACCUUAUUGAGGGCUUUGAGAUAGGCUCAGUUGGACUUGUCCCCUGGAAGGGGUUUGCUUUGUUUUUAUUUCACAUACAGAUUGUGUGAGAUUUGGCCAGAGGGCUGAGUCAGCAAAGACCCACCACAACCCAGUAGAGGGAGCGUAUAGGCACACGCACUUGGCCACAGGGCACUCGCAAGAUGUGAGUGUGACCCCAUUACACCUACAUUUAAAGAAUGUUAAUUUUUUUCCAUGUCAAGCACUCAAAAGUUAAGAAAUGCCAGAAUUAAGGUUGCCCAUGUUUUUAGAUGGCUCAGAUUGCGCAUUGGGGUGGGCGAUUUAGACUCGUGGAGCAGAUGCCUGAUAAGGUUUGGAGGGCCGUUGGAAGAUGUGUAGGGAAUGAGGCAGGGUAUUGCAGGAAGAGAAGGGAUGGUUUCAUGGGUAAGUAAUUGAAUGAUGCCCUAGAGAACUGAAUGCUAUCCCUGCAUCUGUCAGCGAGCUCUUAUGUGAUGCUAGUCCAUGGGAGGAAAACAUUUUGGCCUGAGGGCCAUAUCUGGGUAUGGAAAUUGUAUGGCAGGCCAUGAAUGAUCAUG
Molecule: long non-coding RNA, 2701 nt
Organism: Gopherus evgoodei (Goodes thornscrub tortoise)
Lineage: Eukaryota; Metazoa; Chordata; Testudines; Testudinidae
Exons: 3
Source: RefSeq, a predicted model, not a curated record